RNAcentral lists this long non-coding RNA (2469 nucleotides) under Heterocephalus glaber (naked mole-rat). RNAcentral's name for it is "lncRNA (ENSHGLG00100036336.1)". Lineage: Eukaryota; Metazoa; Chordata; Mammalia; Rodentia; Bathyergidae. The record is from RNAcentral.
CUGGGCAGCUGUUUCGUCACUGGAGAAAGAGAUGUGGAGGGCCAGGUCCUGGUUGGCUGCUGGCUGGGAAGCGUCACAGGGAAGGACACAGGUCCUUGUCCCCCGCCCUGCCGAGCCCUCCUCUGUUCUCCCAGUGCCACGUGGGAGGGGAGAGCACCACACCUGUAGUCCAGGGAUGGAACACUGCUGUGGUGUUCCUACCCUGGCUGAAUGCAGGCCCCAGGGGAGACUGUUACUGUCACUCAUAUGCACAGCUGCCCUGUGGGUGGACACCAUUGAUUCCAUUCCUUCUCUUUUUAUUUUUGGUUUUUCUGAGAUAGAGUCUUAUGUAGUUCAGCUGUCCUUGGACUCACUGUGUAGCUCAGGCUGGCCUCAAACUUGUGGUGAUCCUCCUGCCUCAGCCUCCCAAGUGCUUUUAUUCCAUUUCGUAGAUGGAGGAACAGAAGCUUGGAGAGGUCAGUGGUGAGGCUGGAAUCUGAGCCCAGGGCUAUGACUUCUUGGAUCUUUAUUUUUUUCUGGAACCAGGGCUCAAACUCAGGACCUUGCGCCUUCUGGGCAGGCACGGUGCCACUAAGCUAAAUCCCUGGCCCGAUUUCCUGGAUCUUGCUGCCUUAGAGGCCUGGUUUUUGCAAGGUCUCAGCUUUCUUGCUAACUGCUGCCGCCCAUGUCUCGGUGUUUGCCUUCAUCCCCUGGGGUAAGGAGGGUGGCCAGGAGUGGAGCUGCAGGCUGCAGGGUAAGGAGAGGCUGAGCCUCCGUUUACCACCUCCCUCUUGGCCAGCAGGCUCUGUGGGCUCAGGCUGAGGCUUAAUAUGCAUCCAGGAGGAAUCCUUCCUAAGCCAGGCGGAAUAAGAGGAUGCUGUACUUGGCACCGGGCCUCCCAUGUGUUCGGAGCCCGCCAGAGCCUCCCACACCCUUGGCUCCAACUGUGCCCUCUGUGCGAGCGCUGGCUCAUGGCAGUGUGGUGGCGCAGGGGGCCCUGUGCAUGUAUAGGAGAGGCCUGGCACACAGUGGAGCGUUGAGUCUGACCCAGGGCAGAGUGUUUAUUGAACACCUACUAAGCAGAGGCCUAGUUCCUCACCUCCUCUCAUCCCAGAACAAAUCCAUAGUUUGUGUACUGCCACUGUCCCUGUUGAACAGGAGGAAACUGGGAUUCUGAGAGACCACGGCUUUUGGAGAUCAAACAGCCCGAGAGAGAGUGGAGUUGCUGGUGUGCUCCUGGGGACGCCAACCUGUAGAGGAUGCUGUGUGCCCGGUGCAGAGUGGUGGCCGGGGUAGUUGCCUUGCUGUGAAACAUGCCUCUUGCCAGUCCUGGGUCUGCACAGGAUGAGUGGACGAAACCCUCAGGAGAGCUCACAGAGCAGAGGCUUCCUGCACCCCCAGGCCCUAAGGUGACUCCGGCCCAGCUGCACUCAGUCAACCCCUAGCUGGAGUAUCCAGUACCUCUCCAUCUGCUUGGAGAAGGAAGAGAUGGGCAGCAGUUCUCACACAGGGACAGAGUCUCACUUUCCCCUCUGGCUGGAGCUGGAGAUUAGGCCAUGUGAGCAGAGCCUGGCCCUCCUCCAGGAAUCCUUCUAUGGCUGCUGGACGUGCUCGUUCCACCUCUGUCUGCCAUGGGAUCCAUCCCAUGCUCCUUCCAGGGCUCGAUCCUCCACCAUCACCCCCACCAUGGCCUCAUCCCUGUUUCCUCGAACUCUGAGAUCUUCCUGGAGGGACCCUGUGACCAAGUCCUGGCUGCUCUGAGCCUGGGGCUGCAGAGCCUCCUGCCCACAUCUGCAGGGCCCUGAUGCUGUCUGGCUCCUAACUGGCUCCCAAGCCUGCUCCUCUCCCUGACCUGGUCCCAGGGGACUGCUCAGCUUCAGGACUCAGCAGGGCACAGCAGCAAUUACGGUAGGUGACAUUCUGCCCCACCCACUUUCUGGAUCCCUGGGAUAUCUGAGACUUCUUCCUAGAUGGAAAAGGAUAUCUUUCUGACCAUGAUCAGUCAGAAAGACAGAUUAGGUUAUAAGUAGCAAAAACAAGAACAAAAACCUGUUUUGAUAAAAUAAAGGUGGGUUUCAGGUAAGACUUGAUCCAGCGACUCCAACAAUAGGAACAGGACUUGGUUUCUGCCCAUAUUCCUUCUAGCCUCUGCCUUGGUGAUAGCUGUACUCCUAGCAGCAUUUGACAGGAUUUGAUCAAAAGAUGUUUAUGGCAGCGGUUUCUGGGGCAAUGUUUUUCUAGGUUUAAAUCGGGGGUUGAGGCUGAGAUCAGUCUCAGAGUUGAUCUUUUGAGCCCUGUUGGCAGAACUUGGAUCAUUGUGAACCUUUACUUGGGCCCGCAGGGCUUGGAAAUGCCGAUAGUCUAUCCUGCCCUUCCAAGGCCCACUCCAGGUUUUCCUUUUCCAGGAAGCUCUGUUGACUGUCCAGCCAGGGUUGGCUCUGUGAUCCCAUCUUCCAGAUGAGAAGCCUGAGGCCAAGGUGCAUUUUUCCC